RNAcentral lists this small RNA (28 nucleotides) under Bombyx mori (domestic silkworm). Its description in RNAcentral is "piRNA piR-bmo-1814607". Lineage: Eukaryota; Metazoa; Arthropoda; Insecta; Lepidoptera; Bombycidae. The record is from RNAcentral.
UCGCUGAACUGAGUUUGAAUAGCCUCCA